Pristis pectinata (smalltooth sawfish) is the source of this 1243-nucleotide long non-coding RNA. RefSeq lists it as uncharacterized. NCBI's taxonomy places the organism in Eukaryota, Metazoa, Chordata, Chondrichthyes, Rhinopristiformes, Pristidae. The record is from RefSeq and is a predicted model, not a curated record. The transcript is spliced from 3 exons.
UGCUGCCGUACACCGGAACAAAAAUGACGGGAAGUGGAGAUCACCCGGAAACGUGAGAGGAAGCACGGCCUCCAUCUCGGCGGCCAUCUUUGUUUUUCUGCCCUGGAGGUUAACGUUGCCAACACUACAGGUAGAAGGAAACUGUUCUGAUUGUCAGCUGGAACAAGAACUAUGGGAUAUGGAAUGACUGGCAGAAGAACCAAAGUGAGCAUUUACACCCAUGUUGAGUAAUUUUGUUGGAAUUGCUUCAGAACCCUUGGAGAAACAUUGAACAUUUUGUUUUGGUGUUUACCAAUGGUAGACAACCAAGAGGACCUUGCAGAGAUUCAACACCAUGUUGUCAAAUGCAUCUGUAUGCAAGUCUAUUCACCAAACUGUUUUUGAGGGUGAUAAGAAACCAGCGAUCAUAUUUGUUUUGUGAAUGUUAAGUGUUUUGAUAACAGUGGAUAAAUAUUUUUAAUAAAGAAUGGAAAUCAGAUUGGAUCCUAGGUUUAUUUUCCAUUGAUCUCUCAGGCUGCAUUAGGAAUGGAAUGUGACUUUUAUCUCCAUGUAGAACAAAAAUCAACAGCAAGUAAUCCCUCUCCUGGAUAAUUGUACUUGGGACUGUUACGGACUCAGUGAAUGUCCCUUUAAGAUUGUGUGUGUGUGUGUGUGUGUGGGGCGUGCUUACGUCAAUAGAAGAUAAAGGACGUAAUGACGUUGUUGAAGAGGUCAGAAGAAGAGAGAGAGAAGGGAGAGAGACACCAGCCUGCUAGUUUUCUCUAUCGAUGGAUGAGAAACAAUAACUGUGUCUGCCACUGAAAUCCAUGUAUGGAAGUUGGAAGUAAUCCGGUGGGGUUCACUUUGUUGCUGACCUGUAGAAGGAAACAGGUAUUUGUGUGUGGACGACCACAAUUCGGAUGCUUUUCGGGGUGAGGAAGUCACUACCGAGUAAACACUGAAGUGUCGUUUGGGUUCCAUUGUGGAACAUUUGGAUUUCGUAUUUACUCUCUCUAUAUUUCUCUAUGUCUACGUCUACAUCUUAUCUUCAGACAACGGUGGUUGUUGAAGAAGCCCUUGCUCAUGUUUCACCUUAUGGCUUGCGGAACUGAACUUUAAGAACCAUUCCUGAACUUGGAGUUUGGGACUUUGCCACACACACACGAAGAGUUUAGUUUUUGGGGUUAAUGUUCAAGGUUUAACAUUUUUGAAUUCUAACAUACUAACAUUUUUACUUUUAUUUUACGUAUUAUCAUAAGUAGUG